RNAcentral lists this ribosomal RNA (97 nucleotides) under uncultured bacterium. Its description in RNAcentral is "partial 16S ribosomal RNA". The record is from RNAcentral.
CACACCAUGGGAGUCAGUUGCUCCAGAAAUGGCUUGUCUAACCGUUGUAUUUAUACGACGGAGGACGGCCCUUAAGGAGUGCCUGAUGACUGGGGUG